RNAcentral lists this ribosomal RNA (636 nucleotides) under uncultured archaeon. RNAcentral describes it as "bacterial SSU rRNA". It matches the Rfam family "Archaeal small subunit ribosomal RNA", at positions 223 to 859 of the family's 1478-position model. The record is from RNAcentral.
UAUCAGGUAGUAGUGGGUGUAAUGUACCUACUAGCCUACGACGGGUACGGGUUGUGAGAGCAAGAGCCCGGAGAUGGAUUCUGAGACAUGAAUCCAGGCCCUACGGGGCGCAGCAGGCGCGAAAACUUUACAAUGCGGGAAACCGUGAUAAGGGGACACCGAGUGCCAGCAUCAUAUGCUGGCUGUCCGGGUGUGUAAAAUACACCUGUUAGCAAGGGCCGGGCAAGACCGGUGCCAGCCGCCGCGGUAACACCGGCGGCCCGAGUGGUGAUCGUGAUUAUUGGGUCUAAAGGGUCCGUAGCCGGUUUGGUCAGUCCUCCGGGAAAUCUGACGGCUUAACCGUUAGGCUUUCGGGGGAUACUGCCAGACUUGGAACCGGGAGAGGUAAGAGGUACUACAGGGGUAGGAGUGAAAUCUUGUAAUCCCUGUGGGACCACCUGUGGCGAAGGCGUCUUACCAGAACGGGUUCGACGGUUAGGGACGAAAGCUGGGGGCACGAACCGGAUUAGAUACCCGGGUAGUCCCAGCCGUAAACGAUGCUCGCUAGGUGUCAGGCAUGGCGCGACCGUGUCUGGUGCCGCAGGGAAGCCGUGAAGCGAGCCACCUGGGAAGUACGGCCGCAAGGCUGAAACUUAA